GGGGCCGUCGUCCAACAGGAAGACGCCCGCUUCGCACGCGGGAAAUCGGGGUGCAACUCCCCGCGGGUCCA
RNAcentral lists this transfer RNA (71 nucleotides) under Gemmataceae bacterium. Its description in RNAcentral is "tRNA-Ala". It matches the Rfam family "tRNA". From Rfam's summary of the family: Transfer RNA (tRNA) molecules are approximately 80 nucleotides in length. Their secondary structure includes four short double-helical elements and three loops (D, anti-codon, and T loops). Further hydrogen bonds mediate the characteristic L-shaped molecular structure. tRNAs have two regions of fundamental functional importance: the anti-codon, which is responsible for specific mRNA codon recognition, and the 3' end, to which the tRNAs corresponding amino acid is attached (by aminoacyl-tRNA synthetases). tRNAs cope with the degeneracy of the genetic code in two manners: having more than one tRNA (with a specific anti-codon) for a particular amino acid; and 'wobble' base-pairing, i.e. permitting non-standard base-pairing at the 3rd anti-codon position. RNAcentral also lists the same sequence under 1 other name. The record is from RNAcentral. Lineage: Bacteria; Pseudomonadati; Planctomycetota; Planctomycetia; Gemmatales; Gemmataceae.